GAUGAACGCUGGCGGCGUGCCUAAUACAUGCAAGUCGAGCGAACAGAUGAGGAGCUUGCUCCGCUGACGUUAGCGGCGGACGGGUGAGUAACACGUGGAUAACCUACCUAUAAGACUGGGAUAACUUCGGUAAACCGGAGCUAAUACCGGAUAAUAUAUUGAACGGCAUGGUUCAAUAGUGAAUGACGGUUUUGCUGUGGCUUAGAUAUGGAUCCGCGCCGCAUUAGUCAGUUGGUACGGUAACGGCUUACCAAGGCAACUGUGCGUAGCCGACCUGAGGGGGUGGUCGGCCACACUGUGACAGAGGAAGGGCACAGACACCGACGGGAAGAAACAGUAGGGACUCUUACGCGAGGGACGAGAGCGUGACAGAGCAACACCGCGGGAAUGAUGAAGGACUCAGGCUCGGAGAGCUCUGUUGGUAGGAGAGAACAAAUGUGUAAGUAACUAGGAACAUAAUGACGGUACCUGAUCAAAAAGCCACGGCUAACUACGUG
This 497-nucleotide ribosomal RNA is filed under the name uncultured bacterium. Its description in RNAcentral is "partial 16S ribosomal RNA". It matches the Rfam family "Bacterial small subunit ribosomal RNA", at positions 28 to 507 of the family's 1533-position model. The record is from RNAcentral.